UUAAGAACCUGUUUAUCAAGUUAAAGAAUAGACUUUAGUCCAUCAUAUAUCUAAGCUGACUGUCUUUACUCAGAACACCAUGGGAUGGGUUGGCUGUCCAUUAGUGCCUUCUGAUUUUUGCAGAGUCAAACAAUU
Molecule: small nucleolar RNA, 135 nt
Organism: Myotis lucifugus (little brown bat)
Lineage: Eukaryota; Metazoa; Chordata; Mammalia; Chiroptera; Vespertilionidae
Product: small nucleolar RNA SNORA79
Source: Ensembl